RNAcentral lists this ribosomal RNA (452 nucleotides) under uncultured bacterium. Its description in RNAcentral is "bacterial SSU rRNA". It matches the Rfam family "Bacterial small subunit ribosomal RNA", at positions 83 to 521 of the family's 1533-position model. The record is from RNAcentral.
UUGGAAAGAGGAGUGGCGGACGGGUGAGUAACACGUGGGUAACCUACCCAUCAGAGGGGGAUAACACUUGGAAACAGGUGCUAAUACCGCAUAACAGUUUAUGCCGCAUGGCAUAAGAGUGAAAGGCGCUUUCGGGUGUCGCUGAUGGAUGGACCCGCGGUGCAUUAGCUAGUUGGUGAGGUAACGGCUCACCAAGGCCACGAUGCAUAGCCGACCUGAGAGGGUGAUCGGCCACACUGGGACUGAGACACGGCCCAGACUCCUAUGGGAGGCAGCAGUAGGGAAUCUUCGGCAAUGGACGAAAGUCUGACCGAGCAACGCCGCGUGAGUGAAGAAGGUUUUCGGAUCGUAAAACUCUGUUGUUAGAGAAGAACAAGGACGUUAGUAACUGAACGUCCCCUGACGGUAUCUAACCAGAAAGCCACGGCUAACUACGUGCCAGCAGCCGCGGU